CCCUUAGAUGUUCUGGGCCGCACGCGUGCUACACUGAGUGGAUCAGCGGGUCAGGUUGCGCGAAAGCGUUUCCUAAUCUUUAAAUCCGCUCGUGAUGGGGAUUGACGGUUGCAAUUUUCUGUCAUGAACGAGGAAUACCUUGUAGGCGCAUGUCAUCAUCAUGCGCCGAAUACGUCCCUGCCCUUUGUACACACCGCCCGUCGCUCCUACCGAUUGAGUGAUCCGGUGAGGCUCUGGGACCUGGACGGAAAGAGCGUUUCGCUUGUUCUGUUUGGGAAACUUGGUCGAACCUUAUCAUUUAGAGGAAGGAGAAGUCGUAACA
Molecule: ribosomal RNA, 322 nt
Filed under: uncultured eukaryote
Lineage: Eukaryota
Description: partial 18S ribosomal RNA
Rfam family: Eukaryotic small subunit ribosomal RNA
Source: RNAcentral